UAGUUGAAGACAUCUGUAUCUACCUCAAAGAAGGCAUAGAGAGACACAUUAAAGAAUAUGUGAAUUCUGAAAUUGGUGAGUUGGGGAUUGCACAGACAGUGGAAGUUUUGCAAAACCUACUUGGUGUCACACAUGGGUGUGAAAUUACUUUUUGGACUCAUUUAUGCACUUAAACUGAACUACCAGAAGAACAUCAGGUGCACCUUUGACCUUUCAAAAAUCCUAAUGGAACUGGACUUGAUACAACCAAGCAAUCACUGAAAGAUGCUUCAGUGAAUACCUGACAGACACGCUGAUGCAUCCCCCUCAAAGUGGGUACAUUUUUGUACAUUUACAAGUGACCUUUUUAACAUUAAAGGAAUAUUGCACUUUCAUUAAACAAAAAUCCUGAUAAUUUACUGUCUGUCAUCGAAAAUGCUUGUCUUUUUUUGUUCAGUCGAGAAGAAAUUGUUUUUUGAGAAAAACAUUCCAGGAUUUUUCUUAAUUUAAUAGACCUUAUUGGACCUCAACAGUAAAGUUUCAAAGCAGCUUUAAAGGGCUCUAAACGAUCCCAAUCGAGGCAUAAGGGUUUUAUCUAUUCAAAAGAUUAUCAUUUUUGGCAAGAAAACUUUUAAAACACAACAACUUGUCUUGCAUUAUCCAUGUGAUACACAGUGCGACAUUGUGUACUACGUAAUAACGUUGAAGUUUACACAUCACAAAUG
Non-coding RNA from Misgurnus anguillicaudatus (oriental weatherfish), 704 nucleotides. The record is from RefSeq and is a predicted model, not a curated record. Lineage: Eukaryota; Metazoa; Chordata; Actinopteri; Cypriniformes; Cobitidae.